RNAcentral lists this ribosomal RNA (492 nucleotides) under uncultured bacterium. RNAcentral describes it as "partial 16S ribosomal RNA". It matches the Rfam family "Bacterial small subunit ribosomal RNA", at positions 29 to 507 of the family's 1533-position model. The record is from RNAcentral.
AGUGAACGCUGGCGGUAGGCCUAACACAUGCAAGUCGAACGGCAGCACAGUAAGAGCUUGCUCUUACGGGUGGCGAGUGGCGGACGGGUGAGGAAUACAUCGGAAUCUACUUUUUCGUGGGGGAUAACGUAGGGAAACUUACGCUAAUACCGCAUACGACCUACGGGUGAAAGCAGGGGAUCUUCGGACCUUGCGCGAUUGAAUGAGCCGAUGUCGGAUUAGCUAGUUGGCGGGGUAAAGGCCCACCAAGGCGACGAUCCGUAGCUGGUCUGAGAGGAUGAGCAGCCACACUGGAACUGAAACACACUCCAUACUCCUACCGGAGGCCGCAGUAGCGAAUAUUCGACAAUGGUCUCAAGUAUGAUCCAGCCAUACCGCGUGAAAGAAGAAAACCUUCUGUUUCUAAAGCUCUUUUAUUGGUACAAAAAAACAGCACCUUAAUACCCCGCUUUUCUGACGUUACCCAAAGAAUAAGCACCGCCUAACUUCGUU